RNAcentral lists this ribosomal RNA (459 nucleotides) under uncultured bacterium. RNAcentral describes it as "partial 16S ribosomal RNA". It matches the Rfam family "Bacterial small subunit ribosomal RNA", at positions 338 to 795 of the family's 1533-position model. The record is from RNAcentral.
CCUACGGGCGGCAGCAGUGAGGAAUAUUGGUCAAUGGGCGGGAGCCUGAACCAGCCAAGCCGCGUGAAGGAAGAAGGCGCCAGGCGUCGUAAACUUCUUUUGUCGGGGAACAAAGGGCGCCACGUGUGGCGUUGUGAGUGUACCCGAAGAAAAAGCAUCGGCUAACUCCGUGCCAGCAGCCGCGGUAAUACGGAGGAUGCGAGCGUUAUCCGGAUUUAUUGGGUUUAAAGGGUGCGUAGGCGGUCCGGAAAGUCAGCGGUAAAAGCCCGGGGCUAAACCCCGGCGAGCAGUUGAAACUGUCGGACUAGAGAGGGCGAGAAGUAGGCGGAAUGCGUGGUGUAGGGGUGAAAUGCAUAGAUAUCGAGAAGAAUACUGAUUGCGAAGGCAGCGUACCGGAGCCGGACUGACGCUGAGGCACGAAAGCGUGGGUAGCGAACAGGAUUAGAUACCCGUGUAGUC